GCAACGGGAUGGCCGGGAGCCGGGGGAGGGCGGAGGGGGCGGGGGUGGGUCGGAGUGACUGGGCAUAAAGCGGGCGUAGGCGGCCAAGUGAGUCGGGUGUGGAAGCCGUCGGCUCAACCGAGGAACUGCGCCCGAUACUGCUUGGCUUGAGGUCCGGAGGGGAGAGUGGAAUUCCCGGUGGAGCGGUGAAAUGCGUAGAGAUCGGGAAGAACGCCGGCGGCGAAAGCGACUCUCUGGUCGGAUCCUGACGCUGAGGCGCGAAAGCUAGGGGAGCAAACGGGAUUAGAUACCCGAGUAGUC
RNAcentral lists this ribosomal RNA (300 nucleotides) under uncultured Deferribacter sp. Its description in RNAcentral is "bacterial SSU rRNA". The stretch from base 52 to 300 matches the Rfam family "Bacterial small subunit ribosomal RNA", at positions 547 to 795 of the family's 1533-position model. The record is from RNAcentral. Lineage: Bacteria; Pseudomonadati; Deferribacterota; Deferribacteres; Deferribacterales; Deferribacteraceae.